UGGGGAAUUUUGGACAAUGGGCGAAAGCCUGAUCCAGCAAUGCCGCGUGUGUGAAGAAGGCCUUCAGGUUGUAAAGCACUUUUGUCCGGAAAGAAAUCCUCUGGGUUAAUACCUCGGGGGGAUGACGGUACCGGAAGAAUAAGCACCGGCUAACUACGUGCCAGCAGCCGCGGUAAUACGUAGGGUGCAAGCGUUAAUCGGAAUUACUGGGCGUAAAGCGUGCGCAGGCGGUUUUGUAAGACGGAUGUGAAAUCCCCGGGCUUAACCUGGGAACUGCAUUCGUGACUGCAAGGCUAGAGUAUGGCAGAGGGGGGUUAGAAUUCCACGUGUAGCAGUGAAAUGCGUAGAGAUGUGGAGGAAUACCGAUGGCGAAGGCAGCCCCCUGGGCCAAUACUGACGCUCAUGCACGAAAGCGUGGGGAGCAAACAGGAUUCAGAUACCCUGGUAGUCCACGCCCUAAACGAUGUCAACUAGUUGUUGGGGAUUCAUUUCCUUAGUAACGUAGCUAACGCGUGAAGUUGACCGCCU
RNAcentral lists this ribosomal RNA (528 nucleotides) under uncultured bacterium. Its description in RNAcentral is "partial 16S ribosomal RNA". It matches the Rfam family "Bacterial small subunit ribosomal RNA", at positions 355 to 874 of the family's 1533-position model. The record is from RNAcentral.